GAUGAAGAACGUAGCGAAAUGCGAUAAGUAAUGUGAAUUGCAGAAUUCAGUGAAUCAUCGAAUCUUUGAUCGCACAUUGCGCCCCCUGGCAUUCCGGGGGGCAUGCCUGUUCGAGCGUCAUUACAACCCUCAAGCUCUGCUUGGUAUUGGGCUCUGCUGGGACCGGCAGGCCUUAAAAUCAGUGGCGGCGCCACUCGGCUUCAAGCGUAGUAAUUCUUCUCGCUUCGGAGACCCGGGUGCGUGCUAGCCAGCAACCCCCAACUUUCUUAGGUUGACCUCGGAUCAGGUAGGGAUACCCGCUGAACUUAAGCAUAUCAAUAAGCGGAGGA
Molecule: unclassified non-coding RNA, 329 nt
Filed under: soil metagenome
Description: partial contains 5.8S ribosomal RNA, internal transcribed spacer 2, and large subunit ribosomal RNA
Rfam family: 5.8S ribosomal RNA (bases 1-120)
Source: RNAcentral